Molecule: ribosomal RNA, 117 nt
Filed under: Notechis scutatus (mainland tiger snake)
Lineage: Eukaryota; Metazoa; Chordata; Lepidosauria; Squamata; Elapidae
Source: RNAcentral
UUUGGCAAUUACUUCAUCAUGGAAGCAUUUGGCUGAUUUCAAAAAAGCUAAGGAAGGAUUGGACCUAUUUAGUAUUUGGAUGAGAGCCCACUGAGAAAUCCCAGGGCAAUGGAAAGU